ACGUUAACGCUGGGGAAAGGUUGGAGCCUUGGAAGCUGAUCUGUUUGAGCAGAGUGUACAGGUGUGGAGUUGAGAGAGGUGAGGAGCAGGUACAGGUGAGGAGCAGGUACAGGUGAGGAGCAGGUACAGGUGAGGAGCUGAGGAGCAGGUACAGGUGAGGAGUUGAGAGAGCUGAGGAGCAGGUACAGGUGAGGAGCAGGUACAGGUGAGGAGUUGAGAGAGGUGAGGAGCAGGUACAGGUGAGGUGCAGGUACAGGUGAGGUGCAGGUACAGGUGAGGAGCUGAGAGAGCUGAUGAGCAGGUACAGGUGAGGUGCAGGUACAGGUGAGGAGUUGAGAGAGGUGAGGAGCAGGUACAGGUGAGGAGCUGAGAGAGGUGAGGAGCAGGUACAGGUGAGGAACAGGUACAGGUGAGGAACAGGUACAGGUGAGGAGUUGAGAGAGGUGAGGAGCAGGUACAGGUGAGGAGCUGAGAGAGGUGAGGAGCAGGUACAGGUGAGGUGCAGGUACAGGUGAGGUGCAGGUACAGGUGAGGAGCAGGUACAGGUGAGGAGCAGGUACAGGUGAGGAGCUGAGAAAGGUGAGGUGCAGGUACAGGUGAGGAGCUGAGAGAGCCGGACAGACUAAAGGAGUAAAGCGCUGCUGCAUCGCACUCAGUGGGAA
Ictalurus punctatus (channel catfish) is the source of this 662-nucleotide long non-coding RNA. Lineage: Eukaryota; Metazoa; Chordata; Actinopteri; Siluriformes; Ictaluridae. The record is from Ensembl.